Molecule: long non-coding RNA, 3226 nt
Organism: Pecten maximus
Lineage: Eukaryota; Metazoa; Mollusca; Bivalvia; Pectinida; Pectinidae
Exons: 6
Source: RefSeq, a predicted model, not a curated record
AUAGUUAUAUUAGUCUAUAAUCGGUCUUGGACUUAUAAACGUGCUGAGCACCUAUGAUUACACCAUGGGUUAUAUUCCCCCAGAACACAGAGUUAUGGGCCUUUGCGAUUUAUAUCGAAGGUAAUGGCGGGGUUUUACUUGGUGCGGAAACUUGGCACAAAGUCACAACCAUACCACCCGUAUAUCAUUUAUAUGUGUAUCGUUGGGUUGUGUACAUGUGUCAGGUCCCUGUGUUUGGUAAUAGUGCUCUCUAAUAGGAGUCGGUCUCUGAAAGGUGUCGGGUUUUUUUUUAUUUGUUUGUUUGUUGUUGUUUUUUUUCAGAAACACUGGCAUAGGCAUUGCCAGACUUUAUUUCCACAGGCGCUUGUAUAGAAAUUGAGAAUUAAAAAAAAAAUGAUAUCAGUGGUAUGUGUACUGGGUAAUACUUAACAGAUUACACAUACCACUGUCAUAUUUUUUUUUUUUUUUUUUUGAAAAUCACGUUUUCUAUGCAAGCGCCUGUGUUUAUGUCCACUUCAGCGAAGCCAAUAUGCACUAGCAACACUUGACCACAGCCUAUCAAAAUGUGUUAAAAUGUACAAAUUAUUUUACGAUGUUAUCGCUUUCAGAAGUUAAUUAUCAAAUUGUCUCUCAGACUACAAUAUAUAUAUAUUUUAAUUUUAUUAUUUCCUGUGUUAUAUAUUUUUUGAAUAUCACAAUUUUAUUACAAAUAUACUUCCUUGCAUUUGUAUAUAGAUCAACAAGAUGUUUUACGCUAAGGCGUGCUUGUCGGGGUGAUGUUGAUAUGUCUCCUCUGAUGUAUAUAGCAUGUAGUCACGAUAUUCAUGUUCUGUAUAUAUUACUGUUAAUCACUUACAUUUCGUGUUGGAUUUAUUUUCGCGUUAAUACGCGAGCAAAGUCAAUAUCGAAUUCAAAUGCUUCUUAUGAAAAUAACACGUUUGGAUAUCAACCAAGCUAUCGAUUACCAAUAGUGGAAUCUAUGGCUCUGGGAGCUCAUCAUUCGCGAAUUGAAAAGUCGUUUCUAAAUCAGCGUUCGCGAAAUCGUGUACAUGUAUUCGCGAAUAUGUCUGAAGAGGUUAAUUGGCGAAAUAAUCUAAGUGAUUAACAGUAUCGUUUAUACAGAUGGACAUAUACAAUAGGGCAAUUAAAGAGCAAAUGGAGUUAUACGGGGCAGGCGCUAUGUUACAGGGCAAAAAGAUGUUACAUGGCAUAUCGUAUAUAGUUACUGGGCAAAACGAUGUGGCAGGAGGAAAGUGCUACAGCGGAGAGGGUAGUUAGAGGAGACAUUGGAGCUAUAACAGCAAGGGUAGGUGUAAGGUUGAGGACAGUAAGAGGGAGGAGGGCGUUACAGAUGAAUAGGCAGUUUGAGCAAAGUUACAGCAAAAUACGUAGUUAUAUGGCUGAGGACAGAGGGAGGGGGUGAAGUUACAGGAGAGAGAGGUAAAUCCAUAUCUUAUGGCAGUUAGAGGGAGAGGGGUGAAGUUACAGGAGAGAGAGGUAAAUCCAUAUCUUAUGGCAGUUCGAGGGAGGGGGUGAAGUUACAGGAGAGAGAGGUAAAUCCACAGCUUAUGGCAGUUAGAGGGAGGGGGUGAAGUUACAGGAGAGAGAGAGAGGUAAAUCCAUAGCUUAUGGCAGUUAGAGGGAGGGGGUGAAGUUACAGGAGAGAGAGGUAAAUCCAUAUCUUAUGGCAGUUAGAGGGAGGGGGUGAAGUUACAGGAGAGAGAGAGGGGGGUAAAUCCAUAUCUUAUGGCAGUUAGAGGGAGGGGGUGAAGUUACAGGAGAGAGAGGUAAAUCCAUAGCUUAUGGCAGUUAGAGGGAGGGGGUGAAGUUACAGGAGAGAGGUAAAUCCACAGCUUAUGGCAGUUAGAGGGAGGGGGUGAAGUUACAGGAGAGAGAGAGGUAAAUCCAUAGCUUAUGGCAGUUAGAGGGAGGGGGUGAAGUUACAGGGGAGAGAGGUAAAUCCAUAGCUUAUGGCAGUUAGAGGGAGGGGGUGAAGUUACAGGAGAGAGAGAGGUAAAUCCAUAGCUUAUGGCAGUUAGAGGGAGGGGGUGAAGUUACAGGAGAGAGAGGUAAAUCCAUAGCUUAUUGCAGUUAGAGGGAGGGGUGAAGUUACAGGAGAGAGAGGUAAAUCCAUAGCUUAUGGCAGUUAGAGGGAGGGGGUGAAGUUACAGGAGAGAGAGGUAAAUCCAUAGCUUAUGGCAGUUAGAGGGAGGGGGUGAAGUUACAGGAGAGAGAGAGGUAAAUCCAUAGCUUAUUGCAGUUAGAGGGAGGGGGUGAAGUUACAGGAGAGAGAGAGGUAAAUCCAUAGCUUAUUGCAGUUAGAGGGAGGGGGUGAAGUUACAGGAGAGAGAGAGGUAAAUCCAUAGCUUAUGGCAGUUAGAGGGAGGGGGUGAAGUUACAGGAGAGAGAGGUAAAUCCAUAGCUUAUUGCAGUUAGAGGGAGGGGGUGAAGUUACAGGAGAGAGAGAGAGAGGUAAAUCCAUAUCUUAUGGCAGUUAGAGGGAGGGGGUGAAGUUACAGGAGAGAGAGAGGUAAAUCCAUAGCUUAUGGCAGUUAGAGGGAGGGGUGAAGUUACAGGAGAGGGAGAGAGAGAGAGAGAGAGAGAGAGAGAGAGAGAGAGAGAGGUAAAUCCAUAGCUUAUGGCAGUUACAGGGAGGGGGUGAAGUUACGGGAGAGAGAGAGGUAAAUCCAUAUAUUAUGGCAGUUAGAGGGAGGGGUGAAGUUACAGGAGAGAGAGAGAGGUAAAUCCAUAGCUUAUGGCAGGGGUGAAGUUACAGGGAUUAGGACAGUUAAAGGGAAGAGUGGAUUUACAGAACUAAAAAGAGUAUUUAUAUGGCCGAUGGCAGUUGCAGGGAGGGUGGAAGUUACAGGAGAAAGGGUAGCAACAUAGCUGAUGGCAGUUAGAGGGGAGAAUGGAGGACAAACUACAGUUCAGGGAUAUGGGUUUUAAGGGAACAAAUAGAAAUUACCGAAAUGACGCCAGUUUGAAGACAGUGAUCCGUAACAAGGAGAGUAAGUGGGAAGUUAUAUAAUGGAGCAGAAAGUUAUUAACAAGGGCUGUAGCAUGCAGAAUAAAGACAGUGCCAGACGCCCCAUGCUGGUUUAGAGCAGGAGGAUGACCAGAUGAUUUAAAAUGUCUUUCAAUUUUAUUUAGUUAACAUUUUUACUUUGUUGUCAUUAUUAAAAACCGAUAUAUAGUCACAAUAAAAUAGACUUCAUCAAAUUUG